Molecule: ribosomal RNA, 253 nt
Filed under: uncultured bacterium
Lineage: Bacteria
Description: partial 16S ribosomal RNA
Rfam family: Bacterial small subunit ribosomal RNA
Source: RNAcentral
UACAGAGGGUGCAAGCGUUAAUCGGAAUUACUGGGCGUAAAGCGUGCGCAGACGGUUAUCUAAGUCGAGUGUGAAAGCCCCGGGCUCAACCUGGGAAUUGCAUUCGAAACUGAAUAGCUAGGGUGCGGAAGAGGGAAGUGGAAUUUCCGGUGUAGCGGUGAAAUGCGUAGAUAUCGGAAGGAACAUCAGUGGCGAAAGCGACUUCCUGGUCCAGCACCGACGUUCAGGCACGAAAGCGUGGGGAGCAAACAGG